AAAAAAGUAGAGCUAUACCCUCGUACCUUUUGCAUCAUGGUCUAACUAGUUCAAUCAAGCAAAAUGAAUUUUAAGUUUGACUUCCCGAAACUAGGUGAGCUACUUAAAAACAGCCUUAGGGCCAACCCGUCUCUGUUGCAAAAGAGUGGGAAGAUUUUUAAGUAGAGGUGACAGACCUACCGAACCUAGAGAUAGCUGGUUAUUCAGGAAAAGGAUUUAAGUCCUACCUUAAGUUUACCGUUCAUAAUAAUACACAAUUAACUUUAAGAGCUAUUCAAAUAAGGUACAGCCUAUUGAAACAGGAUACAACCUCCACAGCAGCCACCUUACAAAAAGCGUUAAAGCUUCAUUGUUUUUUAACAAAAAUACCAUUAAUCAACUGUAACCCCUUCACCUGUACUGAAUGAUCUCAUAAUUAUAUGAGAGCCUAUAUGUUAGAACUAGUAACAAGAAGAAGCCCUUCUCCAAAAUGUAAGCAUGAGCCAAAAUGAACUAUUCAUUGGCAUUUAAAGUUAUAAACCUAUUGUAGCAACUUAACAAGAAAAAUCUACAACUGCAAACGUCAACCUUACACCAGCACAUUUAUGGAAAGAUAAAAAGAAUAGGAAGGAACUCGGCAAACAACUAACCCCGCCUGUUUACCAAAAACAUCGCCUCCUGAUUACCCAUAGGAGGUCCAGCCUGCCCAGUGACUAAGUUAAACGGCCGCGGUACCCUAACCGUGCAAAGGUAGCGCAAUCACUUGUUCUUUAAAUGAGGACUAGUAUGAACGGCAUCACGAGGGUUAUGCUGUCUCCCUACUCUACUCAGUGAAACUGAUCUCCCCGUGAAGAAGCGGGGAUAAAGAUAUAAGACGAGAAGACCCCAUGGAGCUUUAAACUCAGUGCCAACUGCCCUAAUAAUAGCCUAUUACCUUUGCAGCCAUGGUUACUAGUUUUCGGUUGGGGUGACCACGGAGUAAAAUUUAACCUCCACGAUGAAAGGAACUAAUAUCCUAACCUAUGAGCUACAGCUCUAAGUAUCAACAAAUUGACUAACUGACCCAAUUACUUGAUCAACGAACCAAGUUACCCUGGGGAUAACAGCGCAAUCCAUUUCAAGAGCUCAUAUCGACAAAUGGGUUUACGACCUCGAUGUUGGAUCAGGGUAUCCCAGUGGCGCAGCCGCUACUAAUGG
This 1176-nucleotide ribosomal RNA is filed under the name Microhyla mukhlesuri. RNAcentral's name for it is "partial 16S ribosomal RNA". It matches the Rfam family "Bacterial large subunit ribosomal RNA", at positions 579 to 2571 of the family's 2925-position model. The record is from RNAcentral. Lineage: Eukaryota; Metazoa; Chordata; Amphibia; Anura; Microhylidae.